RNAcentral lists this non-coding RNA (124 nucleotides) under Choloepus hoffmanni (Hoffmann's two-fingered sloth). The record is from RNAcentral. Lineage: Eukaryota; Metazoa; Chordata; Mammalia; Pilosa; Megalonychidae.
GUGUUGUAUGAAAGGAGGGAAGGUUAGCACUCCCCUUGACAAGGAUGGAAGAGGUCUUUGGGCCUGUACAACAUGCAUAUGGUUAAGGCAUUGCCUACUUCGUGGCAUCUAACCAUUAUUUUUU